RNAcentral lists this transfer RNA (77 nucleotides) under Deltaproteobacteria bacterium. Its description in RNAcentral is "tRNA-His". It matches the Rfam family "tRNA". From Rfam's summary of the family: Transfer RNA (tRNA) molecules are approximately 80 nucleotides in length. RNAcentral also lists the same sequence under 1 other name. Lineage: Bacteria; Pseudomonadati; Myxococcota; Myxococcia. The record is from RNAcentral.
GUGGGCGUAGCUCAGUUGGUUAGAGCGCCAGAUUGUGAUUCUGGAAGUCGCGGGUUCGAUUCCCGUCGCCCACCCCA